This 26-nucleotide small RNA is filed under the name Bombyx mori (domestic silkworm). Its description in RNAcentral is "ovarian small RNA-11785". Lineage: Eukaryota; Metazoa; Arthropoda; Insecta; Lepidoptera; Bombycidae. The record is from RNAcentral.
AGAAGUAUCAGAAGUUUGUGAGAGAA